GAUUGAAGUUUAAGUUAGUGGCGGACGGGGUGAGUAACGCGUGAGUAACCUGCCUUUCACAGGGGGGAUAACGUUGGAAACGAACGCUAAUACCGCAUGACACCACAGUAUCGCAGUGAUACCAUGGCAAAGGAGCAAUCCGCUGAUAGAUGGACUCGCGUCUGAUUAGAUAGUUGGUGAGGUAACGGGCUCACCAAGUCGACGAUCAGUAGCCGGACUGAGAGGUUGAUCGGCCACAUUGGGACUGAGACACGGGCCCCAGACUCCUACGGGGAGGUCAGCAGGUGGGGGAUAUUGCGCAAUGGGGGAAACCCUGACGCAGCAACGCCGCGUGAAGGAAGAAGGUCUUCGGAUUGUAAACUUUUGUCUUUUGGGACGAAAACUGACGGUACCAAAGGAGGAAGCCACGGCUAACUACGUG
Molecule: ribosomal RNA, 421 nt
Filed under: uncultured bacterium
Lineage: Bacteria
Description: bacterial SSU rRNA
Rfam family: Bacterial small subunit ribosomal RNA
Source: RNAcentral